This is an RNA transcript of Danio rerio (zebrafish), 3773 nucleotides long. It is a transcript of the gene named mical-like 2a, with no coding region annotated. The record is from RefSeq and is marked validated. NCBI's taxonomy places the organism in Eukaryota, Metazoa, Chordata, Actinopteri, Cypriniformes, Danionidae.
GACAAUUUGAGGCUCCUCCUCCUCCAUUUCCUCUGCUCCACAGGUGCCGCUCUGCAGGAGUAAGCAGAUUUGAAGAGACGCCGCAUUUACAGCUCAACGUCCCCUUCAGUUCAUUUUAAUCUUAAUUUUCGGCGGACGUUUUCUCUUUACGGCUUCGUAAUUUUGUCGGAAAAGACCCUUUUUAGUUUCCUGUUAUUAAAAAACACUUUGCAGUGAGUAGAGAGAGCGUUUGGAGAGAAUGGCGGCUAUUAAAGCGCUCCAGCAGUGGUGUAAAAUUCAGUGCGAGGGAUACCGAGAUGUGGCCAUCAGCAACAUGAGCAUGUCUUUCAGAGAUGGACUGGCCUUCUGUGCGCUCAUCCACAAGUUCAGACCGGAUCUCAUAAACUUCGAGUCUCUCUCCAAAGACAAUGUGUAUUACAACAAUCACUUGGCUUUUCGUGUGGCUGAAGAUCAUCUGGGGAUCCCUGCUCUUCUGGAUGCGGAGGAUAUGGUGGCCUUGCCUGUCCCAGACAGACUCAGCAUCCUCACAUAUGUCUCACAAUACUACAAUUACUUCCAUGGCCGCUCCCCAAUCGGGGGAGUAGGAGGUAUCAAGCGGCACGCUGAGGACUCAAAGGAGGUGCCAUCAGAGAAGAAGAAUCUGCCUGUGGUUGCCAAAAACCACAAUCUCAAAACAAAUACAGAGAACCGUCCUCCUCAAAGUGAAAUGCCAAAAAUUAUCAACCGUCCUCCAUCUCUUAACAUCCAGAAAAGUGCUCCAGAGAAGCACGCUCUAGCCACUCCAGCUCGGCAGACUGGCACAGACCGGCAGAAAUCUCCAGGGCCUAAAUGUGUGCAAGCGCCCGUCACACCACUCAGAGCGAGAUCUCCACAACCACACAGAGAAGCUGAGAAGAAGUCUGUUUUGGUGGAGACCUCAAAUAAAACGGGUACAUUAAACAGUGAAUGUGCCGUCUGUGGAAAUCAUGUACAUCUAGUCCAGAGACACCUGGUGGAUGGAAAACUCUACCACCGGAGCUGCUAUAAGUGCAGUGUAUGUUAUGGCACACUGAAAUCUGGAGCAUAUAAACUGGGAUCAGACACUGGUUCACUCGUCUGCACUAUUCACCAACAUGGCCAAAAUGGCUUCAAGCCCACUGUUAAGCCUUUUAAGAGCAGCGGCUUUACAGUUUCUGAUUUGGUGGCCAAAUCUGAGCGAGAAGAUCAGUCGCCUUCACAGCGCUACAUCUCUGUAUUAUCUGCACCCAUCAAGGCUGUUCCUAGACCUGUGGAGCUUAGCCUGGCUCAGCAGUCAUGGACGUCUUCGGCUCAGAGGACUCAAGCAGCUCGGCAGAAGUUCUUCCAGUCUUGUGCCCCAGCAACAGAGCUUCAGCCCAAUACCAAACCACCAUUAGGCCCAGCUGAGCCCUCCAAUCUGAAGGUGCAGGAGAAAGAAGGAAACCGUGCUCUGGCGAAUGGAAAUCCACUACAUGAAGGAAACGCCAAUAACAACAAUGCACUGAAUUCUGACCCAAGAGCAAAAAGCCAGGUAAAAAUCAGUUGCUCUUCUGCUGAAGUCUCUACUUGGAGGCAGGAGCUACAUGUGCGAGAUUCAAAAGGCAGGAGUUCAUAUCAGGCUGCUCCAUCCAGCCCUGCUAUUAUCAGCAGCGGCGGCGGCAUGAACGGCAAGGAAUCGCUCUACCUCAGUGCCAUCAGCAAGGAGAGCAGCAGACCUCCAUCCCUGCUGCAGACUACUGCCAAAGCUUCAGCCAAUGAUGUUCAGAGCUACGAUGCCCCGGCUGACUGGAGAUCAAAGCCAAAGGCAGCUCCAAAUGGACCAAGACUCAACCGGCGUAUGCCUCCUGCCUCCCCCAUAGUGUGCAGAGUGCAUCCUCUCGCUCUGUCCCCAAUCCUCAACAGUCCCAACGAGUGCUGCGCCUAAACCAACCCUCUCUGAAACCAUAUACUCUUACCUUGAGUUCUUCUGAUGAUCCUCCUAUUUAGUUUUGUGGGCGUCUGCUGUAUAUAAGUAGAUCUCCUGAUAUUGCCAAAGAUGUUCCAUUGACGUGUGGAGAAAACAAAGAUUUAAAAGUGCAGGAUUCUCAAGCCUUCAUGUUGAACCACUCCAAGGGUUGUAAUAAUGAUUGUUCUUUGGCCUCAUGCGUAUCACCCUCUACGUCCUGUCACAAACUUUCAUCUCCAAAACAGCCUCGCUGCGGGUCAGCGACAUCAAGUUACGACAAUGGAAAUAUAUUAUGUAAUAACAUUUUGCUCCAUGAAGCAAGGUCACCUACUACAAACACUUGCUAUAUCACGCCAGAGCAGAUCUCAAAAGAACUGCAAGACAUUGAAAACAACCUCAACGAUUUGGAGAAUGAAGGAGUGGAGCUGGAAUGGAAACUUCGUGUUUAUGAAGAAGAGGGUCAUGGGGACAUUCUGAUGGACCCCUUAAUGGUUGAUUGGUUUAACCUGAUUCGGAAGAAACAAAGCUACAUACGGAGAGAGUCGGAGUUGAUGUACAUAGCAAGAACACAAGAUCUGGAGGAGCAACAGCCGGGAGUGGAGGGGGAACUCAGGAGAUUGAUCAACAAACCAGAACAUCUCAAAACUCUGAAUGAGAAGAAGAGGGAAACUGAGCUGUUGAACAGACUGAUGAAGAUUGUGAAUGACAGAAACGCUAUUGUUGAGGGUCUGGAGGAAGACAGGAUAAGGGAGGAGGAGGAAGAUCAACAGUUGAAUGAAAUGAUGCAAAGACUGGGUCUUCAGAAGUUUAAAAACAAACGCAAGUCAUCCUUCUCAAAGUUAUUUCGACGACGAAGUAAAAAAGCCUCGAUGGGAGAGUGAAGCUCACAGCUACUAGACUGAAGUGCUCCAUAUGUUCGGCUGCAGUUUGUUGAAACUUCAUCUUUUUAGAUGUUUUAAAAAAACAAGGUGGGUCUACAAAAUGUCAGGUGGUUUAGUGAGGUAAGAGUUCUUGAAGUAAAAUGUUGUUUAUUAUUAACUUUUUAUUAUUUCAGUCAUGUUCAGAAAGUUUUUCACUUUGAUUUACCUAAUGCUUGUUCUAUUCAUUUAAGAUGUUUAAUUUUGCUCCUAUACUUUCAAUGCGUGGGCUCCUUUUGAAUAAUUAUUGUUCAGAAUAUACAUUUACUUAACUUCUUUAUUUUUAUUUCCACCCCCUCACUUGUUCGGAGAUAAACCGUACCGUUGUAUUAGCAGAUAAACAAACAGAUGUCCAAGGCUGGCUGAAGCACGCUCUUUGACUGCCAUCCAAAAAUCUGCGGAGCAUCUUAAUUUAACCCUAACCUCCAAUAAGCGUUGAGCUCAAAGAUUGAAAGCGUUCAUUGUGCAGUGCUAACAGUGACCUGAAGGGGGCACUAUGAGCUUGCAUGCAUGUGCAUCAGAAUAUCCAGACUCUUAUAUCCUGUGAACGCUAAAUCAAGCUGGAGAUUAGACUGCAGAAGAUCUUGUGUGUGUGUGUGCGCGCGCGCUGGAGAGGCACGGAUUAUUGGUUUUAUUCUCUUUUUAAGUCUCUAACCUAGUUCAAUUAAAAGUGUACCUCAUUUAACUUAUCCAAGUAGUAGAUGUGCAAAGAGGCCUUUUUUAAUGUUUUAAAUAAAAGGUAUGACUGAACUGUUUGAAAAAGCUACUGCAGGAAUGUUUUAAAGAUGUUUUAAAAAGUUCUCUGAAGAGAUGCUGAUGAUGUGCUUAUUUAUUGUGUAUUUGACUUUAAUAACAUGGGUUAUUCAAUAAAUCUUAAGGAAGUUUCUAAUUGUAUUAUAACCAAGGUGAAUGCA